Ooceraea biroi (clonal raider ant) is the source of this 621-nucleotide long non-coding RNA. RefSeq lists it as uncharacterized. The record is from RefSeq and is a predicted model, not a curated record. Lineage: Eukaryota; Metazoa; Arthropoda; Insecta; Hymenoptera; Formicidae.
AUGCCACUCGGCUCGAUCAAGAGAAUUAUCAUCCACAGAAACUGCAAAUCGGACGAUCCGCCACGUCGGGAUCGAGACGAUGACGAUUUCUCCUUGGUAACCGUGACGAGCGCUUCCCUACGGGAGAGUACCGGCAGUACCUUUACUGGAUCCGUCUAUGCGAAUUGGGAGGAAAAAUUCGCGUCUCGUGCGCUACAGAGACGAGGUCGCGUCUUCAGCUAUCGAAGGCGAAAGACUCGUAUUAGUGAUGGAAUCUUCGCUGCACCGGCCGGCGUCUGUCCGCAUCGUGUCACUUCGUCGAUCAUCCGUCGGAACUCAGGCGAUUCCCGACUCGUGUUCGUUUGGCCGCAAAAAGCUAGUAGAGGUCGACUCUCAAAUAUUCUCGCGCCUCUUCUACGCGGUAUCCUGAUUGGACUAUUGUUCGUAGAUGCUCUUCACCUUUGGCCUGGAGAGUUUUUACCCACAUCUCUACCAUCAAAUAUACCACUUACCCUACCACCUGUCAAAUGUAACGUUAUCGAGCCACUUUGGUUUGAUAAUAAUUGAAUCACCCCUCUUCACGUUUAUGUAAACGUGUGCUUGUAAUAUCGAUUUCAAAAUACAUGUGAUUUUUAAUAAACG